CAGUCGAGCGGGGAAGGGUAGCUUGCUACCUAACCUAGCGGCGGACGGGUGAGUAAUGCUUAGGAAUCUGCCUAUUAGUGGGGGACAACAUUCCGAAAGGAAUGCUAAUACCGCAUACGCCCUACGGGGGAAAGCAGGGGAUCUUCGGACCUUGCGCUAAUAGAUGAGCCUAAGUCAGAUUAGCUAGUUGGUGGGGUAAAGGCCUACCAAGGCGACGAUCUGUAGCGGGUCUGAGAGGAUGAUCCGCCACACUGGGACUGAGACACGGCCCAGACUCCUACGGGAGGCAGCAGUGGGGAAUAUUGGACAAUGGGCGCAAGCCUGAUCCAGCCAUGCCGCGUGUGUGAAGAAGGCCUUUUGGUUGUAAAGCACUUUAAGCGAGGAGGAGGCUACUUGGAUUAAUACUCUAGGAUAGUGGACGUUACUCGCAGAAUAAGCACCGGCUAACUCUGUGCCAGCAGCCGCGGUAAUACAGAGGGUGCGAGCGUUAAUCGGAUUUACUGGGCGUAAAGCGUGCGUAGGCGGCUUCUUAAGUCGGAUGUGAAAUCCCUGAGCUUAACUUAGGAAUUGCAUUCGAUACUGGGAGGCUAGAGUAUGGGAGAGGAUGGUAGAAUUCCAGGUGUAGCGGUGAAAUGCGUAGAGAUCUGGAGGAAUACCGAUGGCGAAGGCAGCCAUCUGGCCUAAUACUGACGCUGAGGUACGAAAGCAUGGGGAGCAAACAGGAUUAGAUACCCUGGUAGUCCAUGCCGUAAACGAUGUCUACUAGCCGUUGGGGCCUUU
Molecule: ribosomal RNA, 780 nt
Filed under: uncultured bacterium
Lineage: Bacteria
Description: bacterial SSU rRNA
Rfam family: Bacterial small subunit ribosomal RNA
Source: RNAcentral